CAGUCGCCACGGUAAUACGAAGGGGGCUAGCGUUGUUCGGAAUUACUGGGCGUAAAGCGUACGUAGGCGGAUUUUUAAGUCAGGGGUGAAAUCCCGAGGCUCAACCUCGGAACUGCCUUUGAUACUGGAGAUCUUGAGUUCGGAAGAGGUUGGUGGAACAGCUAGUGUAGAGGUGAAAUUCGUAGAUAUUAGCUAGAACACCAGUGGCGAAGGCGGCCAACUGGUCCGAUACUGACGCUGAGGUGCGAAAGCGUGGGGAGCAAGCAGGAUUAGAUACCCCAGUAGUCCCUGUCUCUUAUAC
RNAcentral lists this ribosomal RNA (301 nucleotides) under uncultured bacterium. RNAcentral's name for it is "partial 16S ribosomal RNA". It matches the Rfam family "Bacterial small subunit ribosomal RNA", at positions 509 to 807 of the family's 1533-position model. The record is from RNAcentral.